UACAGAGGUCUCAAGCGUUGUUCGGAUUCAUUGGGCGUAAAGGGCGCGUAGGCGGCGAGGUAAGUCGGGUGUGAAAACUCGAGGCUUAACCUCGAGCUGUCGGCGGAAACCAUCUGGCUAGAGUCCGGAAGAGGAGAAUGGAAUUCCCGGUGUAGCGGUGAAAUGCGCAGAUAUCGGGAAGAACACCCGUGGCGAAGGCGGUUCUCUGGGACGGUACUGACGCUGAGACGCGAAAGCGUGGGGAGCGAACAGG
This 253-nucleotide ribosomal RNA is filed under the name uncultured bacterium. RNAcentral describes it as "partial 16S ribosomal RNA". It matches the Rfam family "Bacterial small subunit ribosomal RNA", at positions 524 to 776 of the family's 1533-position model. The record is from RNAcentral.